Molecule: ribosomal RNA, 479 nt
Filed under: Pseudomonas aeruginosa
Lineage: Bacteria; Pseudomonadati; Pseudomonadota; Gammaproteobacteria; Pseudomonadales; Pseudomonadaceae
Description: partial 23S ribosomal RNA
Rfam family: Bacterial large subunit ribosomal RNA
Source: RNAcentral
GAAAGCGUAAUAGCUCACUGGUCGAGUCGGCCUGCGCGGAAGAUGUAACGGGGCUAAACCAUGCACCGAAGCUGCGGCAGCGACACUAUGUGUUGUUGGGUAGGGGAGCGUUCUGUAAGCCUGCGAAGGUGACCUGUGAGGGUUGCUGGAUGUAUCAGAAGUGCGAAUGCUGACGUGAGUAACGACAAAACGGGUGAAAAACCCGUUCGCCGAAAGACCAAGGGUUCCAGUCCAACGUUAAUCGGGGCUGGGUGAGUCGACCCCUAAGGCGAGGCCGAAAGGCGUAGUCGAUGGGAAAAUGGUUAAUAUUCCAUUACUUCUGUGUAAUGCGAUGAGAGGACGGAGAAGGCUAAAUCAGCCUGGCGUUGGUUGUCCAGGUGAAAGGAUGUAGGCAUGUAUCUUAGGCAAAUCCGGGGUACUCUAUGCUGAGAUCUGAUAGCAAGCUGUACUUGUACAGCGAAGUGGUUGAUGCCAUGCUU